This 497-nucleotide ribosomal RNA is filed under the name uncultured bacterium. Its description in RNAcentral is "partial 16S ribosomal RNA". It matches the Rfam family "Bacterial small subunit ribosomal RNA", at positions 28 to 507 of the family's 1533-position model. The record is from RNAcentral.
GAUGAACGCUGGCGGCGUGCCUAAUACAUGCAAGUCGAGCGAACAGACGAGGAGCUUGCUCCUCUGAUGUUAGCGGCGGACGGGUGAGUAACACGUGGAUAACCUACCUAUAAGACUGGGAUAACUUCGGGAAACCGGAGCUAAUACCGGAUAAUAUUUUGAACCGCAUGGUUCAAAAGUGAAAGACGGUCUUGCUGUCACUUAUAGAUGGAUCCGCGCUGCAUUAGCUAGUUGGUAAGGUAACGGCUUACCAAGGCAACGAUGCGUAGCCGACCUGAGAGGGUGAUCGGCCACACUGGAACUGAGACACGGUCCAGACUCCUACGGGAGGCAGCAGUAGGGAAUCUUCCGCAAAGGGCGAAAGCCUGACGGAGCAACGCCGCGUGAGUGAUGAAGGUCUUCGGAUCGUAAAACUCUGUUAUUAGGGAAGAACAAAUGUGUAAGUAACUGUGCACAUCUUGACGGUACCUAAUCAGAAAGCCACGGCUAACUACGUG